UUUAAUUGAAGAGUUUGAUCAUGGCUCAGAUUGAACGCUGGCGGCAGGCCUAACACAUGCAAGUCGAGCGGUAACAUGCCUUCGGGUGAUGACGAGCGGCGGACGGGUGAGUAAUGCUUGGGUAUCUGCCCGAUGGAGGGGGACAACCACUGGAAACGGUGGCUAAUACCGCAUAAUGUCUACGGACCAAAGCGUGGGACCUUCGGGCCA
This 210-nucleotide ribosomal RNA is filed under the name Alkalimonas amylolytica. RNAcentral's name for it is "16S rRNA. Bacterial SSU". It matches the Rfam family "Bacterial small subunit ribosomal RNA", at positions 1 to 220 of the family's 1533-position model. Lineage: Bacteria; Pseudomonadati; Pseudomonadota; Gammaproteobacteria. The record is from RNAcentral.